This is a long non-coding RNA of Gallus gallus (chicken), 603 nucleotides long. The record is from Ensembl. NCBI's taxonomy places the organism in Eukaryota, Metazoa, Chordata, Aves, Galliformes, Phasianidae.
GAUAAAAUUACAAAGGACUUCUGGUCUGGGAAAUUUUGGUCAGGCUUCUGAAACCUGAAACUGUUUGAAGACCUCUUAAAAGACAUUUAUUUCACAUUAAAAAUGUAUUCCAUAGAGAAAAAAGUUUUAUUUUAGGAACAGCCUGUCCUUUACAUAACAUUAAGCAGUAAGCAGUUGCAUUAAGUGACUUUUUCUCUUAGACAAAAACGCUAGCAAGAAGUCAUGCGAGCUCCUGCUUCAGAAGACUGCACUAACUGCAUGGUGAUGUGGCACUCGUGUUCUUGGAAAAAAACGCCUGGUGAAGGUAUGAGUGAUGGCAAACAAUGCGUCCUUGCCUGUGUUUGUGCAGGCCUAAAGGUGUGCUCCUGUAGGAAGUGUCUCAUCUGAAGUAGCGUCGAGCACCCACAGACCUCAAACAAGCCGCUUCUGAAGACCAGUUAUGGCAAAAGUUUGAAUACUUUCUAGAGAAACAUACUAAACAUGGUCAAAAAUAAUCUUGUUGCAAUAAAACUCCUUUUAAACUCUAUCUUCAUUUCCGACCCUGUACAGAAUAAAAUUCAAGUCAUUAACCAUAGCUUUUAAGGUUUCAUGUGUGUGCCUCCC